GCCAGUGGGACAUGCCUAUAUUCUGAGCUACUGGGGAGGCUGAGGCAGGAGGAUCACUUGAAUCCAGCAGUUCUGGGCUAUAGUGUGUGUCUGCACUAAGUCCGACAUCAAUAUGGUGACCUCUCAGGAUUGGGGACCACCAGAUUGCCGAAGGAGGGUUGAACCAGCCCAGGUCAGAAACAGAGCAGGUAAAAACUCCCGGGAUGAUCAUUAUUUCAUUCUUUAAUACAUUAUUGUAUGCCAUGUUUUUUAACCCAUUCAUUAGCUUACU
This 271-nucleotide non-coding RNA is filed under the name Nannospalax galili (Upper Galilee mountains blind mole rat). Lineage: Eukaryota; Metazoa; Chordata; Mammalia; Rodentia; Spalacidae. The record is from RNAcentral.